GGACCGCUGGCGCAACGGUAGCGCGUUCGACUCCAGCUCUGGUGUCAUCGAAAGGUUAUCCGUUCAAAUCGGGUGUGGUUCA
RNAcentral lists this transfer RNA (82 nucleotides) under Colletotrichum orchidophilum. It matches the Rfam family "tRNA". Rfam says of the family: Transfer RNA (tRNA) molecules are approximately 80 nucleotides in length. Their secondary structure includes four short double-helical elements and three loops (D, anti-codon, and T loops). Lineage: Eukaryota; Fungi; Ascomycota; Sordariomycetes; Glomerellales; Glomerellaceae. The record is from Rfam by way of RNAcentral.